This 504-nucleotide ribosomal RNA is filed under the name uncultured bacterium. RNAcentral describes it as "partial 16S ribosomal RNA". It matches the Rfam family "Bacterial small subunit ribosomal RNA", at positions 30 to 523 of the family's 1533-position model. The record is from RNAcentral.
AUUGAACGCUGGCGGCAGGCCUAACACAUGCAAGUCGGACGGUAGCACAGAGAGCUUGCUCUCGGGUGACGAGUGGCGGACGGGUGAGUAAUGUCUGGGAAACUGCCCGAUGGAGGGGGAUAACUACUGGAAACGGUAGCUAAUACCGCAUAACGUCUUCGGACCAAAGUGGGGGACCUUCGGGCCUCACACCAUCGGAUGUGCCCAGAUGGGAUUAGCUAGUAGGUGGGGUAAUGGCUCGCCUAGGCGACGAUCCCUAGCUGGUCUGAGAGGAUUACCAGCCACACUGGAACUGAGACACGGUCCAGACUCCUACGGGAGUCAGCAGUGGGGAAUAUUGCACAAUGGGCGCAAGCCUGAUGCAGCCAUGCCGCGUGUAUGAAGAAGGCCUUCGGGUUGUAAAGUACUUUCAGCGGGGAGGAAGGCGAUGAGGUUAAUAACCGCAUCGAUUGACGUUACCCGCAGAAGAAGCACCGGCUAACUCCGUGCCAGCCGCCGCAGUAA